This 443-nucleotide unclassified non-coding RNA is filed under the name Hevea brasiliensis (rubber tree). Lineage: Eukaryota; Viridiplantae; Streptophyta; Magnoliopsida; Malpighiales; Euphorbiaceae. The record is from RNAcentral.
GUUCAUCCUAAGAAAAGAAAUGUUUCUCAGACUAUAUUCUGGAACUUGACAUGCAAUAGCACUCGGGAUUUAUGGAACUUCUGACCCCACAGAGGACAAGAAUUAAUUUCUCAGGCAACGCCAUCAUUUUGCAGGACCAGACACCCUGACAAAUUUGUUCAUCCUGAAGUUUUUUGUAUUCCUCCUCUUUGUGACAGCAGUACUCCUCAACUUGGCUAACUUUUCCCUUCUCCCCUCGAUGUCAGCUUGAAUAACUUUUUCCCUCUUUUCAUUUGACAGCAAAGCAAGCCUCGCAAACUUCCUCGGGUUUACUGGCCCAAGCCUUUCAUUAAUUUCCUUGAAAGCAGGAACAAGGCCACGUCUAAUAAAACAUCCUUCAAUAAGCUGCAUUGAGUUCAUCUCUGGAAGGCUAGGCCUAUUUUUCAACUCAAGAUCUAAGCAAA